Molecule: ribosomal RNA, 767 nt
Filed under: uncultured microorganism
Description: bacterial SSU rRNA
Rfam family: Bacterial small subunit ribosomal RNA
Source: RNAcentral
GCAAGUCGAACGGGGUAGUUUGGUAGCAAUACUAAGCUGCUCAGUGGCGAACGGGUGCGUAACACGUGGGUAAUAUGCCGGGAAGCAAGGAAUAGCCCAGGGAAACUUGGAUUAAUACCUUAUGUGGUCGCAAGACUAAAGGCGGGGUAACCUGCCACUUCCUGAUUAGCCCGCGGCCUAUCAGCUUGUUGGUGAGGUAAUGGCUCACCAAGGCUACGACGGGUAGCUGGUCUGAGAGGAUGACCAGCCACACUGGAACUGAGACACGGUCCAGACACCUACGGGUGGCAGCAGUCGAGAAUCUUUCACAAUGGGGGAAACCCUGAUGGAGCGACGCCGCGUGGAGGAUAAGGUCUUCGGAUUGUAAACUCCUGUCAUGCGAGAGCAAGAUUUGCUGAGUAACUUUGGCAAAUUUGAUAGUAUCGCAAGAGGAAGAGACGGCUAACUCUGUGCCAGCAGCCGCGGUAAUACAGAGGUCUCAAGCGUUGUUCGGAAUCACUGGGCGUAAAGGGUGCGUAGGUGGCGUGGAAAGUCAGAUGUGAAAUCCGGGGGCUCAACCUCCGAAUUGCAUCCGAUACUCCCAUGCUAGAGAACUGGAGGGGAGUCUGGAAUUCUCGGUGUAGCAGUGAAAUGCGUAGAUAUCGAGAGGAACACUAGUGGCGAAGGCGAGACUCUGGACAGUUUCUGACACUGAUGCACGAAGGCCAGGGUAGCGAACGGGAUUAGAUACCCCGGUAGUCCUGGCAGAAACGGUGCACGUUUGGUGU